GGAUGUUACCGUUUUGUUGACCACGAAACAACUUGUACAAAACAUGGUGGCAAAGGCUGUAGCCGUUCUCCUCCUUGUGUGCUGUCUUGCAUUGACCUCUGAUGCCAGGGGGACUCAACAGUGUCCCUUUGGACAAAUACAAGUCGGGACGUGCAGUGCCCAUACGUGGUGGAAGUGCUAUCUUGGACAAUGCAUCCCAGUUAAUGGCCACUUUGGUAUCUGCUGUAAAAAGUUCUCUCAUGGCGGAUAUUACUAAUGUCCCGGGCAGAAGGUUUUCAAUUUUAUAACAAAGAAAUAAAGACUUCUAAAUAAUA
Molecule: long non-coding RNA, 314 nt
Organism: Magallana angulata
Lineage: Eukaryota; Metazoa; Mollusca; Bivalvia; Ostreida; Ostreidae
Exons: 3
Source: RefSeq, a predicted model, not a curated record